Non-coding RNA from Aedes aegypti (yellow fever mosquito), 73 nucleotides. Lineage: Eukaryota; Metazoa; Arthropoda; Insecta; Diptera; Culicidae. The record is from Rfam.
CUUCUCAUGGCGUAGUGGUAACGCGCCCCAACUAGUGAUCGGGGAGUCGUGAGUUCGAUUCUUACUGAGAAGA